GAUGAACGCUGGCGGCGUGCCUAAUACAUGCAAGUCGAGCGAACGGACGAGAAGCUUGCUUCUCUGAUGUUAGCGGCGGACGGGUGAGUAACACGUGUAUAACCUACCUAUAAGACUGGGAUAACUUCGGGAAACCGGAGCUAAUACCGGAUAAUAUUUUGAACCGCAUGGUUCAAAAGUGAAAGACGGUCUUGCUGUCACUUAUAGAUGGAUCCGCGCUGCAUUAGCUAGUUGGUAAGGUAACGGCUUACCAAGGCAACGAUGCAUAGCCGACCUGGGAGGGUGAUCGGCCACACUGGAACUGGGACACGGUCCAUGCUCCUACGGGAGGCAGCAGUAGGGAAUCUUCCGCAGUGGGCGAAAGCCUGACGGAGCAGCGCCGCGUGAGAGAUGAAGGUCUUCGGAUCGUAAAACUCUGUUAUUAGGGAAGAACAUAUGUGUAAGUAACUGUGCAGAUCUUGACGGUACCUAAUCAGAAAGCCACGGCUAACUACGUG
Molecule: ribosomal RNA, 497 nt
Filed under: uncultured bacterium
Lineage: Bacteria
Description: partial 16S ribosomal RNA
Rfam family: Bacterial small subunit ribosomal RNA
Source: RNAcentral